This is a transfer RNA of 76 nucleotides. It matches the Rfam family "tRNA". Rfam says of the family: Transfer RNA (tRNA) molecules are approximately 80 nucleotides in length. Their secondary structure includes four short double-helical elements and three loops (D, anti-codon, and T loops). Further hydrogen bonds mediate the characteristic L-shaped molecular structure. tRNAs have two regions of fundamental functional importance: the anti-codon, which is responsible for specific mRNA codon recognition, and the 3' end, to which the tRNAs corresponding amino acid is attached (by aminoacyl-tRNA synthetases). tRNAs cope with the degeneracy of the genetic code in two manners: having more than one tRNA (with a specific anti-codon) for a particular amino acid; and 'wobble' base-pairing, i.e. permitting non-standard base-pairing at the 3rd anti-codon position.
GGUCCGGUAGCUCAGCUGGUAGAGCAGCAGCCUUUUAAGCUGAUGGUCGUGGGUUCGAACCCCACCCGGAUCACCA